GAUGAACGCUGGCGGCGUGCCUAAUACAUGCAAGUCGAGCGAACAGACGAGGAGCUUGCUCCUUUGACGUUAGCGGCGGACGGGUGAGUAACACGUGGGUAACCUACCUAUAAGACUGGGAUAACUUCGGGAAACCGGAGCUAAUACCGGAUAAUAUUUCGAACCGCAUGGUUCGAUAGUGAAAGAUGGCUCUGCUAUCACUUAUAGAUGGACCUGCGCCGUAUUAGCUAGUUGGUAAGGUAACGGCUUACCAAGGCAACGAUACGUAGCCGACCUGAGAGGGUGAUCGGCCACACUGGAACUGAGACACGGUCCAGACUCCUACGGGAGGCAGCAGUAGGGAAUCUUCCGCAAUGGGCGAAAGCCUGACGGAGCAACGCCGCGUGAGUGAUGAAGGUCUUCGGAUCGUAAGACUCUGUUAUUAGGGAAGAACAAACGUGUAAGUAACUGUGCACGUCUUGACGGUACCUAAUCAGAAAGCCACGGCUAACUACGUG
Molecule: ribosomal RNA, 497 nt
Filed under: uncultured bacterium
Lineage: Bacteria
Description: partial 16S ribosomal RNA
Rfam family: Bacterial small subunit ribosomal RNA
Source: RNAcentral